GCCUCAGUACGGCGAGUGAAGCGGCAAAAGCUCAAAUUUGAAAUCUAGCACCUUCGGUGUUCGAGUUGUAAUUUGAAGAUGGUAACCUUGGGUUUGGCUCUUGUCUAUGUUCCUUGGAACAGGACGUCAUAGAGGGUGAGAAUCCCGUCUGAUGAGAUGCCCAUUCCUAUGUAAGGUGCUAUCGAAGAGUCGAGUUGUUUGGGAAUGCAGCUCUAAGUGGGUGGUAAAUUCCAUCUAAAGCUAAAUAUUGGCGAGAGACCGAUAGCGAACAAGUACAGUGAUGGAAAGAUGAAAAGAACUUUGAAAAGAGAGUGAAAAAGUACGUGAAAUUGUUGAAAGGGAAGGGCAUUAGAUCAGACUUGGUGUUUUACGAUUAUCUUCUCUUCUUGAGUUGUGCACUCGUAUUUCACUGGGCCAGCAUCGAUUCGGAUGGCAAGAUAAUGGCAGUUGAAUGUGGCUUCACUUCGGUGGAGUGUUAUAGCUUCUGCUGAUAUUGCCUGUCUGGAUCGAGGGCUGCGUCUUUUGACUAGGAUGCUGGCGUAAUGAUCUAAUGCCGCCCGUCUU
This 564-nucleotide ribosomal RNA is filed under the name Hansenula anomala. RNAcentral describes it as "Wickerhamomyces anomalus partial large subunit ribosomal RNA". It matches the Rfam family "Eukaryotic large subunit ribosomal RNA", at positions 77 to 655 of the family's 3401-position model. Lineage: Eukaryota; Fungi; Ascomycota; Saccharomycetes; Phaffomycetales; Wickerhamomycetaceae. The record is from RNAcentral.